Molecule: long non-coding RNA, 1845 nt
Organism: Cyprinus carpio (common carp)
Lineage: Eukaryota; Metazoa; Chordata; Actinopteri; Cypriniformes; Cyprinidae
Source: Ensembl
GCAUUCAUAGCAGGACAUUUAUCAUGGUCCCAACACUGAAGGUAUGUAUUCAAAUACAGGGUUGUGGGAACUGACACUACCUCUCUGCAGGGAGCUUGCUCUUGUGGUCUUUUUUAUUUGUAUUUCGGGUGACUGCUUAUAGCUAUUUGUUAUGCCAUAAACACAUUUCUUAAACCUGUCUUCAGAUUGCUUUGAUAUAUUAAGUAUUUAUGCUAGACAGUAAUAAAAAUAACUCUUUGGGGGGAAACUCCUCCAGAAAGCAGGCAAAGAGCCCUUCCUUUAAAAUCACAGCCAUUACAGUUCACAGCAUCGCAAUAUCUCAUAACUAGGCGGCAGUUUUUUGCUAUCCCAAUAGCUGCAUUCGUUACCUAAUGCUGCGUUCCAGACAGGUUUUUGAACCCGUAACUCAUGACUUCAAAUCAUGACUUUGUAGCGUUCCAGGCAAGUCAUGCCAAACAGCCUGAACGCAAGAAAUUGUAGCUAGAUUAUUAAUUUUAUUGCAACGUUAUAUUGUUUUAACGAAACAGCUGAUCUCCGGUCAGAACGCUUUGUCUCGUCAGCUUGAGGGUUUGAUGGAGAAGCAAGCUGCAAACACUGUUCUUCUCGAAGAUGCUAUCCAGCGUCUUUGUGCUCUUGAGCGAAAGUUUGACGAGCAAAGACCGCAAGAGGAACAAAGACCGCGGGAAGAGCCAUUACAUAAAAGGAUAAAGAGGGCGCACAACGUGGGCAUUGCGGAAGCUGUAAGGCGCCUUCACAAUUCGGAAAACAACCCACAUAAAUAUGAUCCACAAACUGGAAUAAGUUUGCCUCGUAACCAAGCAGUCAUGACUUAUCAGCUAGAGGAAUUGAAAUCAACUUUUGCAGAUGCAGACCCUGAGUGUAUACAAGCGUGUUGCAAGACAUACUUUGAAACACUUCGGAGAAAGUACAAUUUGUCUCAGCCAGAAAAGUCCCAGCUAAGAGAUGCCAUUAAAACAGGAGCUAAAAACCGACAAAGGAAAAGACGGUUGCUGGAUUCCAGGUCCAAGGUUGUUCAAACCGAUGCAGAGAGAGAGCUUUGGCAGACUGCAACAGUGGAGCUGAUGUCUGACGAGGAGGAUGCCAUUGUUGAUGGAAGGCCAGUGUGGAUUGUGAGGUCUCCAUCUCACAGGAACCCACAAUUGUCAGAACUUUGUGAGGAGCUUCAGCGCAGAUUGGAGGCAGACAUGCGCUACACUAUUUUGCAUCAUCAGCGUGUUAAGGCUGAUGGAAAUGGACAUGAUGGACCUUCCUUUCUUCAACUUUAACUAAACUGCACUGGUUUUGCAAUUUUAAUAAUUGCACCACAAACUGCACAUUUUCACUUAUUCUCUUCUAUUUUAUCUUAUUCUUUGUAUACUUAUUAGGUUAGAUUUAUUUAGUUUCAUAUUCUGCAACUUAUUUUCUUUUAAUAUUGUUUGUGUUUGCUGUGUUUGGUUACAUUUUAAAUACUUUGUGCUGUGUGUACAUAUUAAGUAGUUUAUUUAGUUUUAUAUUCUGUAACUGUUAUAAUAUUGCUUGUGUUUAGUAAAAUUUUAUAAAAGUACUUUGCUUUGUGUACAUAUUAUUUAGUUUUAUAUUCUCUAACUGUUAUAAUAUUGCUUGUGUUUAGUAAAAUUUUAUAAAAGUACUUUGCUUUGUGUACAUAUUAUUUCGUUUUAUAUUUUGUAACUGUUAUAAUAUUGCUUGUGUUUGGUUAAAUUUUAUAAAAGUACUUUUUCCCCUGUACAGUUCCUAUAGUUUUAUUUAUAUAUUUAAUGCUUUAUUUAUAUAUUUAAUGCUUUAAGUGUUUUGGUUUAAUUUUAAUAAAAAGAAAUUCUGAAUCCA